This 255-nucleotide ribosomal RNA is filed under the name uncultured bacterium. RNAcentral describes it as "partial 16S ribosomal RNA". It matches the Rfam family "Bacterial small subunit ribosomal RNA", at positions 524 to 776 of the family's 1533-position model. The record is from RNAcentral.
UACGAAGGGGGCUAGCGUUGUUCGGAAUCACUGGGCGUAAAGCGCACGUAGGCGGAUUGUUAAGUCGGGGGUGAAAUCCUGAGGCUCAACCUCAGAACUGCCUUCGAUACUGGCAAUCUCGAGUCCGGAAGAGGUUGGUGGAACAGCUAGUGUAGAGGUGAAAUUCGUAGAUAUUAGCUAGAACACCAGUGGCGAAGGCGGCCCAACUGGUCCGGUACUGACGCUGAUGCGCCGAAAGCCAGGGGAGCAAACGGG